RNAcentral lists this ribosomal RNA (117 nucleotides) under Prolemur simus (greater bamboo lemur). The record is from RNAcentral. Lineage: Eukaryota; Metazoa; Chordata; Mammalia; Primates; Lemuridae.
GUCUACUGCCAUACCACUCUGAACGCACCCGAUCUCAUCUGGUCUCGGAAGCUAAGUAGGGUCAGGCAUGGUUAGUACUUGGAUGGGAAAAUUAUUAAAUAAUAUUGACAAAAGGUA